RNAcentral lists this long non-coding RNA (543 nucleotides) under Capra hircus (goat). RNAcentral's name for it is "lncRNA (ENSCHIG00000004038.1)". The record is from RNAcentral. Lineage: Eukaryota; Metazoa; Chordata; Mammalia; Artiodactyla; Bovidae.
AAAAUGGCUCUCUGUGUAUCUUUUACUCGCCAGGGGCUAUGGUGCAGACUAUGAGCCUGGUAUUUUGAGAAAAAGGAGAUCCCUGGGGACUUAAAAUGAUGUAUGAAGUUCAUUGUCACAAGACCAUCGAAUAUCAAAUCACUGUCUCUGCUUUCUCUGUAGGUAACCUGUCUCCAUGAUUUCUUUGGUGAUGAUGAUGUGUUUAUUGCCUGCGGUCCUGAAAAAUUUCGCUAUGCUCAGGAUGACUUUUCUCUGGAUGAAAAUGAAUGCCGAGUCAUGAAGGGAAACCCAUCAGCCACAGCUGGCCCUAAGGCAUCCCCAACACCUCAGAAGAGUUCAGCUAAGAGCCCUGGCCCCACGCGCCGGAGCAAGUCUCCAGCUGACUCAGCAAACGGAACCUCCAGCAGCCAGCUCUCUACCCCCAAGUCUAAGCAGUCUCCCAUCUCUACGCCCACCAGUCCUGGCAGCCUCCGGAAGCACAAGGUAGACCUGUACCUGCCUCUGUCCUUGGAUGACUCAGACUCACUUGGUGAUUCCAUGUGA